This is a long non-coding RNA of Mauremys reevesii (Reeves's turtle), 442 nucleotides long. RefSeq lists it as uncharacterized. The transcript is spliced from 3 exons. NCBI's taxonomy places the organism in Eukaryota, Metazoa, Chordata, Testudines, Geoemydidae. The record is from RefSeq and is a predicted model, not a curated record.
AGAAGGCUGUUUUGUUAACCCAGGUGGGUUCUUCUGUUUUCUUCUGUUAUGGGUACCCAUAAUAAGACUCAAGAAUAAAGCCUGGAAGAUUACCACAGCUGGUGAGGACUUUCUAGCUUGCUACUGUCUCUUUCCAUCAUCUUACAGCACUAGAACUUCUGUGGCUGGCCAGCCAGCAAUACCAAACAGGAAAAGAAAAAUAUUUCUUUGAACUUUCAGCACACUGCUAAUCAGAAUGUACUAUGCAAGAUGCACCCAGUAGUGUUCAAGCUAAGCUGCACUUUAAUCAGAAGUUGAUGCUGUUUUCCCCUUUGAAGAGCUUCUUUUCCUCUGGAGGAGCUCAACACAAGUGCAAAACUUCAGAAGGACUUUUACUGAAUGGCUGGAAAUGAGACAUGCCUGACAACAGACGGCUUCUAAACUGAAAGCCAGGGAACUGGCC